CGAGCACGCGCGUGUGGCAUAUCAAUAAGCGGAGGAAAAGAAACUAACAAGGAUUCCCUUAGUAACGGCGAGUGAAGCGGGAAGAGCUCAAAUUUGAAAUCUUCAAGGUUCUACCUUGACGAAUUGUAGUUUAUAGAAGUGUUUUCUGUUAGUGGGGUGGCAAAAGUUCUUUGGAAUAGGACAUCAUAGAGGGUGAGAAUCCCGUAUUUGGUCAUUCCUCCUAGCGUUGUGAUACACUUUCAACGAGUCGGAUUGUUUGGGAAUGCAGUCCAAAAUGGGUGGUAAAUUUCGUCUAAAGCUAAAUAUUGGCGAGAGACCGACAGCGAACAAGUACCGUGAGGGAAAGAUGAAAAGAACUUUGAAAAGAGAGUUAAACAGUACGUGAAAUUGUCAAAAGGGAAGCGUUUGACACCAGUGUUGUUUUUCCGAAAAUCAAUUACGAAUGUUUUGUUUUUGAGGAGUUAUGACUUCAUCGGCUUGCUUCUUCUCUUUACGAAACUUUCUUAAUGCACUUUUCGGUUAACAAGUCAACAUCAAUUUCUUUUGUUGUAAAAGGGUACUGAGGAAGGUGGCUUUCUUUUCGGAGAAAGUGUUUAUAGCCUUGUACCUCUGCAAUCGGAGAGAUUGAGGUCUGCAGCGUAGAUCCUUCGGGGUUAGAUACAUUUGUGCUAAGUUAUAGCUUUUCAUAGACAACUUGUUGACUAUGUUAAGUCUUGUAGCUUACUCGCUUAUGCUAUUUUACCUACGCUUAGGAUGUUGAUGUGAUACUGCGAGCA
RNAcentral lists this ribosomal RNA (776 nucleotides) under uncultured Neocallimastigales. RNAcentral describes it as "partial large subunit ribosomal RNA". It matches the Rfam family "Eukaryotic large subunit ribosomal RNA", at positions 19 to 646 of the family's 3401-position model. The record is from RNAcentral. Lineage: Eukaryota; Fungi; Neocallimastigomycota; Neocallimastigomycetes; Neocallimastigales.